UUUCAUGUAUGGUGAUAAACAGAAAGAACCCAAUAACUACAAAAGCGAAGUGGAAGCAGGACAUUUUGAACCGUUUUACAAACCUCUCUUUGAACUCUUUUACAAACCUCUUCUUUGAACUCUUUUACGACCUUUUCUGUAAACUGUAUACAACCCUCGUCCCUCCAAACAGCUGUUGACAUGUGGUCGGAGAAAGUCCAAAUAAAGGGGGAGAAGUACAAUCUUUUUGCCGGAGUGUGGGUGACACUGUAAGAGGUUACAGGUUGACACGUUUCUCCUCAAAUUGAGCGAAAUUGAAUUCUGUCUCUGUUUAAUUCUUUGUCUUGUCUUGUUUAAUAGAGGUCAUCAGUGUUUGAAGCUGACAGUGGAGAAUUCCUACAAACACACUCCGCAACCUUGUGGACAGCCUUCCCAGAAGAGUUGAAGCUGUAAUAGCUGCAAAAGGUGGAUCCGACAUCAUAUUUAACCCAAUGGGUUAGGAAUAGGAUGGGAACAUGAAGGUGUUCCUGUUUUCUUUCAUGUAUGGUAAUAAACAAAAAUAUAAUGUUUGACCCAAGAACUACAAAAGCGAAGAGGAAGCAGGGCCGGACUUCCCUCCAUGCGAACUCUUUUAGAAAUGUUUUACAAACCUUUCUUUGAACUCUUUUACAAACCUCUUCUUUGAACUCUUUUACGAACUUUUCUGUGAACUGUAUACAACCCUCGUCUCUUCGAACAGCUGUUGAUAUGUGGUCGGAGAAAGUCCAAAUAAAGGGGGAGAAGUACAAUCUUUUCGUCGGAGUGUGGGUGACACUGGAAGAGCUUACAGGUUGACACGUUUCUCUUCAAAUUGAGCCAAAUUGAAUUCUGUCUCUGUUUAAUUCUUUGCUUCUUGUCUUGUUUAAUAAAGGUCAUCAGUGUUUGAAGCUGACAGUGGAGAAUUCCUAUAAACACACUCCGCAACCUUGUGGACAGCCUUCCCAGAAGAGUUGAAGUUGUAAUAGCUGCAAAAGGUGGACCCGACAUCAUAUUGAACCCAAUGGGUUAGGAAUAGGAUGGCAACAUGAGGGUGUUCCUGUUUUCUUUCAUGUAUGGUAAUAAACAGAAAGAUCAUGUCUGCCCCAAGAACUACAAAAGCGAAGAGGAAGCAGGACCAGACUUCCCUCCAGUCGACCUCUUUUUUAACUGAUUUACAAACCUCUCUUUGAACUCUUUUACGAACUUCUUUGAACUCUUUUACAACAUUUUCUGUAAACUGGAUACAAUCCUCGUCCCUUUAAACAGCUGUUGACAUGUGGUCGGAGAAAGUCCAAAUAAAGGGGGAGAACCACAAUCUUUUUGCCGGAGUGUGGGUGACACUGGAAGAGGUUACAGGUUGACAAGUUUCUCCUCAAAUUGAGCCAAAUUGAAUUCUGUCUCUGUUUAAUUCUUUGUCUUGUCUUUUUUAAUAGAGGGUCAUCAGUGUUUGAAGCUGACAGUGGAGAAUUCCUAUAAACACACUCCGCAACCUUGUGGACAGCCUUCCCAGAAGAGUUGAAGCUGUAAUAGCUGCAAAAGGUGGACCGACAUCAUAUUGAACCCUAUGGGUUACGAAUGGGAUGAGAACAUGAAGGUGUUCCUGUUUUCUUUCAUGUAUGGUGAUAAACAGAAAGAACCCAAUAACUACAAAAGCGAAGUGGAAGCAGGACAUUUUGAACCGUUUUACAAACCUCUCUUUGAACUCUUUUACAAACCUCUUCUUUGAACUCUUUUACGACCUUUUCUGUAAACUGUAUACAACCCUCGUCCCUCCAAACAGCUGUUGACAUGUGGUCGGAGAAAGUCCAAAUAAAGGGGGAGAAGUACAAUCUUUUUGCCGGAGUGUGGGUGACACUGUAAGAGGUUACAGGUCGACACGUUUCUCCUCAAAUUGAGCCAAAUUGAAUUCUGUCUCUGUUUAAUUCUUUGUCUUGUCUUGUUUAAUAGAGGUCAUCAGUGUUUGAAGCUGACAGUGGAGAAUUCCUACAAACACACUCCGCAACCUUGUGGACAGCCUUCCCAGAAGAGUUGAAGCUGUAAUAGCUGCAAAAGGUGGAUCCGACAUCAUAUUUAACCCAAUGGGUUAGGAAUAGGAUGGGAACAUGAAGGUGUUCCUGUUUUCUUUCAUGUAUGGUAAUAAACAAAAAUAUAAUGUUUGACCCAAGAAAUACAAAAGCGAAGAGGAAGCAGGGCCGGACUUCCCUCCAUGCGAACUCUUUUAGAAAUGUUUUACAAACCUCUUCUUUGAACUCUUUUACGAACUUUUCUGUGAACUGUAUACAACCCUCGUCUCUUCGAACAGCUGUUGAUAUGUGGUCGGAGAAAGUCCAAAUAAAGGGGGAGAAGUACAAUCUUUUCGCCGGAGUGUGGGUGACACUGGAAGAGCUUACAGGUUGACACGUUUCUCUUCAAAUUGAGCCAAAUUGAAUUCUGUCUCUGUUUAAUUCUUUGCGUCUUGUCUUGUUUAAUAAAGGUCAUCAGUGUUUGAAGCUGACAGUGGAGAAUUCCUAUAAACACACUCCGCAACCAUGUGGACAGCCUUCCCAGAAGAGUUGAAGUUGUAAUAGCUGCAAAAGGUGGACCCGCAUCAUAUUGAACCCAAUGGGUUAGGAAUAGGAUGGGAACAUGAAGGUGUUCCUGUUUUCUUUCAUGUAUGGUAAUAAACAAAAAUAUAAUGUUUGACCCAAGAAAUACAAAAGCGAAGAGGAAGCAGGGCCGGACUUCCCUCCAUGCGAACUCUUUUAGAAAUGUUUUACAAACCUCUUCUUUGAACUCUUUUACGAACUUUUCUGUGAACUGUAUACAACCCUCGUCUCUUCGAACAGCUGUUGAUAUGUGGUCGGAGAAAGUCCAAAUAAAGGGGGAGAAGUACAAUCUUUUCGCCGGAGUGUGGGUGACACUGGAAGAGCUUACAGGUUGACACGUUUCUCUUCAAAUUGAGCCAAAUUGAAUUCUGUCUCUGUUUAAUUCUUUGCGUCUUGUCUUGUUUAAUAAAGGUCAUCAGUGUUUGAAGCUGACAGUGGAGAAUUCCUAUAAACACACUCCGCAACCAUGUGGACAGCCUUCCCAGAAGAGUUGAAGUUGUAAUAGCUGCAAAAGGUGGACCCGCAUCAUAUUGAACCCAAUGGGUUAGGAAUAGGAUGGCAACAUGAGGGUGUUCCUGUUUUCUUUCAUGUAUGGUAAUAAACAGAAAGAUCAUGUCUGCCCCAAGAACUACAAAAGCGAAGAGGAAGCAGGACCAGACUUCCCUCCAGUCGACCUCUUUUUUAACUGAUUUACAAACCUCUCUUUGAACUCUUUUACGAACCUCUUUGAACUGUUUUACAACAUUUUCUGUAAACUGGAUACAAUCCUCGUCCCUUUAAACAGCUGUUGACAUGUGGUCGGAGAAAGUCCAAAUAAAGGGGGAGAACCACAAUCUUUUUGCCGGAGUGUGGGUGACACUGGAAGAGGUUACAGGUCGAAGCGUUUCUCCUCAAAUUGAGCCAAAUUGAAUUCUGUCUCUGUUUAAUUCUUUGUCUUGUCUUUUUUAAUAGAGGUCAUCAGUGUUUGAAGCUGACAGUGGAGAAUUCCUAUAAACACACUCCGCAACCUUGUGGACAGCCUUCCCAGAAGAGUUGAAGCUGUAAUAGCUGCAAAAGGUGGACCGACAUCAUAUUGAACCCUAUGGGUUACGAAUGGGAUGAGAACAUGAAGGUGUUCCUGUUUUCUUUCAUGUAUGGUGAUAAACAGAAAGAACCAAAUAACUACAAAAGCGAAGUGGAAGCAGGACAUUUUGAACCGUUUUACAAACCUCUCUUUGAACUCUUUUACAAAACUCUUCUUUGAACUCUUUUACGACCUUUUCUGUAAACUGUAUACAACCCUCGUCCCUCCAAACAGCUGUUGACAUGUGGUCGGAGAAAGUCCAAAUAAAGGGGGAGAAGUACAAUCUUUUUGCCGGAGUGUGGGUGACACUGUAAGAGGUUACAGGUCGACACGUUUCUCCUCAAAUUGAGCCAAAUUGAAUUCUGUCUCUGUUUAAUUCUUUGUCUUGUCUUGUUUAAUAGAGGUCAUCAGUGUUUGAAGCUGACAGUGGAGAAUUCCUACAAACACACUCCGCAACCUUGUGGACAGCCUUCCCAGAAGAGUUGAAGCUGUAAUAGCUGCAAAAGGUGUAUCCGACAUCAUGUUUAACCCAAUGGGUUAGGAAUAGGAUGGGAACAUGAAGGUGUUCCUGUUUUCUUUCAUGUAUGGUAAUAAACAAAAAUAUAAUGUUUGACCCAAGAAAUACAAAAGCGAAGAGGAAGCAGGGCCGGACUUCCCUCCAUGCGAACUCUUUUAGAAAUGUUUUACAAACCUCUCUUUGAACUCUUUUACAAACCUCUUCUUUGAACUCUUUUACGAACUUUUCUGUGAACUGUAUACAACCCUCGUCUCUUCGAACAGCUGUUGAUAUGUGGUCGGAGAAAGUCCAAAUAAAGGGGGAGAAGUACAAUCUUUUCGCCGGAGUGUGGGUGACACUGGAAGAGCUUACAGGUUGACACGUUUCUCUUCAAAUUGAGCCAAAUUGAAUUCUGUCUCUGUUUAAUUCUUUGCUUCUUGUCUUGUUUAAUAAAGGUCAUCAGUGUUUGAAGCUGACAGUGGAGAAUUCCUAUAAACACACUCCGCAACCUUGUGGCCAGCCUUCCCAGAAGAGUUGAAGUUGUAAUAGCUGCAAAAGGUGGACCGACAUCAUAUUGAACCCAAUGGGUUAGGAAUAGGAUGGCAACAUGAGGGUGUUCCUGUUUUCUUUCAUGUAUGGUAAUAAACAGAAAGAUCAUGCCUGCUCCAAGAACCACAAAAGCGAAGAGGAAGCAGGACCAGACUUCCCUCCAGUCUACCUCUUUUUUAACUGAUUUACAAACCUCUCUUUGAACUCUUUUACGAACCUCUUUGAACUGUUUUACAACAUUUUCUGUAAACUGGAUACAAUCCUCGUCCCUUUAAACAGCUGUUGACAUGUGGUCGGAGAAAGUCCAAAUAAAGGGGGAGAACCACAAUCUUUUUGCCGGAGUGUGGGUGACACUGGAAGAGGUUACAGGUCGACACGUUUCUCCUCAAAUUGAGCCAAAUUGAAUUCUGUCUCUGUUUAAUUCUUUGUCUUGUCUUUUUUAAUAGAGGUCAUCAGUGUUUGAAGCUGACAGUGGAGAAUUCCUAUAAACACACUCCGCAACCUUGUGGACAGCCUUCCCAGAAGAGUUGAAGCUGUAAUAGCUGCAAAAGGUGGACCGACAUCAUAUUGAACCCUAUGGGUUACGAAUGGGAUGAGAACAUGAAGGUGUUCCUGUUUUCUUUCAUGUAUGGUAAUAAACAAAAAGAUAAUGUUUGACCCAAGAACUACAAACGCGAAGAGGAAGCAGGACCCGACUCCCCUCCAGGCGACCUCUUUUUUAACUGAUUUACGAACCCCUCUUUGAACUCUUUUACGAACUUUUCUUUGAACUCUUUUACGACCUUUUCUGUAAACUGUAUACAAUCCUUGUCCCUUCGAACAGCUGUUGACAUGUGGUCGAAGAAAGUCCAAAUAAAGGGGGAGAACUACAAUCUUUUUGCGGGAGUGUGGGUGACACUGUAAGAGGUUACAGGUCGACAUGUUUCUCUUCAAAUUGAGCCAAAUUGAAUUCUGUCGCUGUUUAAUUAUUUGCGUCUUGUCUUGUUUAAUAGAUGUCAUCGGUGUUUGAAGCUGACUGUGGAGAAUUCCUAUAAACACACGCCGCAACCUUGUGGACAGCCUUCCCAGAAGAGUUGAAGUUGUAAUAGCUGCAAAAGGUGGACCCGACAUCAUAUUGCAACCCAUGGGUUAGGAAUGGGAUGAGAACAUGGUGUUCCUGUUUUCUUACAUGUAUGGUAAUAAAAAAAUAUACGUUUGACCCAAGAACUACAAAAGCAAAGAGGAAGCAGGGCCAGACUCCCCUCCAGUCGACCUCUUUUUUAACUGAUUUACGAACCUUUCUUUGAACUCUUUUACGAACCUCUUCUUUGAACUCUUUUACGACCUUUUUUGUAAACUGUGUACAAUCCUCAUCCCUUCAAACAGUUGUUGAAAUGUGGUCGGAGAAAGUCCAAAUAAAGGGGUAGAACUACAA
Long non-coding RNA from Nerophis ophidion (straightnose pipefish), 6104 nucleotides. RefSeq lists it as uncharacterized. Lineage: Eukaryota; Metazoa; Chordata; Actinopteri; Syngnathiformes; Syngnathidae. The transcript has 2 exons. The record is from RefSeq and is a predicted model, not a curated record.